This 497-nucleotide ribosomal RNA is filed under the name uncultured bacterium. RNAcentral describes it as "partial 16S ribosomal RNA". It matches the Rfam family "Bacterial small subunit ribosomal RNA", at positions 28 to 507 of the family's 1533-position model. The record is from RNAcentral.
GAUGAACGCUGGCGGCGUGCCUAGUACAUGCAAGUCGAGCGAACAGACGAGGAGCUUGCUCCUCUGACGUUAGCGGCGGACGGGUGAGUAACACGUGGAUAACCUACCUAUAAGACUGGGGUAACUUCGAGAAACCGGAGCUAAUACCGGGUAAUAUAUUGAACCGCAUGGUUCAAUAGUGAAAGACGGUUUUGCUGUCACUUCUAGAUGGCUCCGCGCCGCAUUAGCUAGUUGGUACGGUAACGGCUUACCAAGGCAACGAUGGGUAGCCGAACCGAGAGGGGGAACGGCCACUCUGGAAGUGGGAGACGGUACAGGGUCCGACGGGAGGCAGCGGUAGGGAAGCUUCCGAGAUGGGCGAAAGCCUGACGGAGCAACGCCGCGUGAGUGAUGAAGGUCUUCGGAUCGUAAAACUCUGUUAUUAGGGAAGAACAAAUGUGUAAGUAACUAUGCACGUCUUGACGGUACCUAAUCAGAAAGCCACGGCUAACUACGUG